UGGGGAAUUUUGGACAAUGGGGGAAACCCUGAUCCAGCCAUCCCGCGUGUGCAAUGAAGGCCUUCGGGUUGUAAAGCACUUUUGGCAGGAAAGAAACGUCAUGGGUUAAUACCCCGUGAAACUGACGGUACCUGCAGAAUAAGCACCGGCUAACUACGUGCCAGCAGCCGCGGUACUACGUAGGGUGCAAGCGUUAAUCGGAAUUACUGGGCGUAAAGCGUGCGCAGGCGGUUCGGAAAGAAAGAUGUGAAAUCCCAGAGCUCAACUUUGGAACUGCAUUUUUAACUACCGGGCUAGAGUGUGUCAGAGGGAGGUGGAAUUCCGCGUGUAGCAGUGAAAUGCGUAGAUAUGCGGAGGAACACCGAUGGCGAAGGCAGCCUCCUGGGAUAACACUGACGCUCAUGCACGAAAGCGUGGGGAGCAAACAGG
Molecule: ribosomal RNA, 429 nt
Filed under: Acidobacteriota bacterium
Lineage: Bacteria; Pseudomonadati; Acidobacteriota
Description: Acidobacteria bacterium partial 16S ribosomal RNA
Rfam family: Bacterial small subunit ribosomal RNA
Source: RNAcentral